UACGGGGGGGGCAAGCGUUGUUCGGAAUUACUGGGCGUAAAGGGCUCGUAGGCGGGCAACUAAGUCAGACGUGAAAUCCCUCGGCUUAACCGGGGAACUGCGUCUGAUACUGGAUGGCUUGAGUUUGGGAGAGGGAUGCGGAAUUCCAGGUGUAGCGGUGAAAUGCGUAGAUAUCUGGAGGAACACCGGUGGCGAAGGCGGCAUCCUGGACCAACACUGACGCUGAGGAGCGAAAGCCAGGGGAGCAAACGGG
This 253-nucleotide ribosomal RNA is filed under the name uncultured bacterium. RNAcentral's name for it is "partial 16S ribosomal RNA". It matches the Rfam family "Bacterial small subunit ribosomal RNA", at positions 524 to 776 of the family's 1533-position model. The record is from RNAcentral.